This 1471-nucleotide long non-coding RNA is filed under the name Bemisia tabaci. Its description in RNAcentral is "lncRNA ENSSSA3NGG011924". The record is from RNAcentral. Lineage: Eukaryota; Metazoa; Arthropoda; Insecta; Hemiptera; Aleyrodidae.
CCGAUAGAAAAUCUGAGAGGGAACCAACUGUGCACUCCCCCAGUUUAUUAAAAUUUUGCAAUGCCAAAUUUUCUUCAUGAGAAAUAAAGAGGGAAUUUUACAACAAACAAAAGAAGAAAAGAAAAUUGAAACCUUUCUGUCAAGCUUGACCUUAAGUUUUUUCGGCUCGCAACCAAAAUCGUGCAUGCAAUAAAUGUGCGUGAGCUGUGAUUCGUACCAAGGAAGUUAUUGAGCAUGCUGAACAUUUCUGCUUCACUACGGCUCUGGCGUUCACUGAUCCUUGCGGCGACAUCAAACUGAUUUUGCAGAGACGAGUAGAGAUGACCGGUCGCUGCAGAGUUAGAAGUUUCUACGUAACUGAAAUAUAAAACCAUUUUUAAUUUUUAUGACGGACUAAAAUAAUUAUCGAUCUGUACGGUUGGGAUUGCGACGAGACAAAAUGGGAUCGCGGAUACUGACAAGGACUGACACUGACUCGGUGAAACAUGCGGUGAAACAAAGAGAGAUGCAGACAGGCGGCCGGCUUGGCGGUAAACGAGGGUCCGCUUUUUCCUUUCACUCCAAGUCGUAUCAUAAGUUCGGGAGUCGCGUCUGCCUGAUAGUGAGUCUUUCUUUGCAGAAAUGACGUAUGAGCACUUCAGCGCUCAGGAUCGGUCGUUGAGUCGUUAUUGAACCACCUUCAUCGAUAUACUGCCGUGCUAAGGAAAAACGCCGUAUGAACAUUCGAGAGUUGCCACAUUUCCUUCGAUAAAGUGCAUAUUUUCGAGGAAAGUUAUGAAUAUUUUCUCUUGAAAUUUUCAAGAAAUUUCGGUGAAAAAGUAUACAAAACUAUCUGAAAAUUCGAAAGAAAAUAGUCAUAAAUUUACCAGGAAAUUCGUGUUUUAUCAAAGGAAAUUUGGCAACGCCCAAAGGUUCAUAUCGACGGUGUAAGUCGGCAAUCACAUAACUCGUUUGCGGUGUCUGAAAAUCUCCGCCUCUAAGUUAUUUUUUUAAAGGAGAACAAAUUGACAUCAUCCCUUGAAAUUUUUGCUGAAUUUCUCCGCACAGAGGAGAAAAAUCACGGCAGUUUUAAAGAAUUGCCGUUGAGCAGUUUUCCGUUUAAAAAAUAAAGUAUGAUAGGAAGUCUGCGACGUCGCAAACCGAGUUAUGUGAUUGCCGUCUUACACCGUCGAUAUACGGCGUUUUUCCUUAGCACGGCAGUAUGAACAUUCGAAUGUUGCCAAAUCCGAUCUCAAAAUGAUCUAUUUUUGAGAAAAGUCAUGAAUAUUUUUCCUUAAAAUGUUCAGACACUUAAAGUCAAAUUACGGACAAAAUUCUCUGAAAAAUCGGAAGAAAAUAAUAUUAUCAACAAAUUUUCCCGGAAAUUGGUGAUCUGUUGACGGAAAUUCGGCAACGUCUGAAGGUUUAUACGGGUUCUCACUAAGCACAGCAGUAUAUUUCUAUCUUACAUUAGUGAUACUGUUCGUCGAUU